GACAGAGGGGGCAAGCGUUGUCCGGAAUCAUUGGGCGUAAAGCGCGUGUAGGCGGCUCGGUAAGUCCGCUGUGAAAGUCAAGGGCUCAACCCUUGAAUGCCGGUGGAUACUGUCGGGCUAGAGUCCGGAAGAGGCGAGUGGAAUUCCUGGUGUAGCGGUGAAAUGCGCAGAUAUCAGGAGGAACACCGGUGGCGAAGGCGGGACUCUGGGCCGAUACUGACGCUGAGGAGCGAAAGCGUGGGGAGCAAACAGG
RNAcentral lists this ribosomal RNA (253 nucleotides) under uncultured bacterium. RNAcentral describes it as "partial 16S ribosomal RNA". It matches the Rfam family "Bacterial small subunit ribosomal RNA", at positions 524 to 776 of the family's 1533-position model. The record is from RNAcentral.